Molecule: ribosomal RNA, 460 nt
Filed under: uncultured bacterium
Lineage: Bacteria
Description: partial 16S ribosomal RNA
Rfam family: Bacterial small subunit ribosomal RNA
Source: RNAcentral
CCUACGGGCGGCAGCAGUGAGGAAUAUUGGUCAAUGGACGAGAGUCUGAACCAGCCAAGCAGCGUGAAGGAUGACUGCCCUCUGGGUGGUAAACUUCUUUUAUAUGGGAGUAAAAUGUUCCACGUGUGGGAUUUUGUAUGUACCAUAUGAAUAUGGAUCGGCUAACUCCGUGCCAGCAGCCGCGGUAAUACGGAGGGUCCGAGCGUUGUCCGGAUUUAUUGGGUUUAAAGGGAGCGUAGGUGGAUUGUUAAGUCAGUUGUGAAAGUUUGCGGCUCAACCGUACAAUUGCAGUUGAAACUGGAAGUCUUGAGUACAGUAGAGGUGGGCGGAAUUCGUGGUGUAGCGGUGAAAUGCUUAGAUAUCACGAAGAACUCCGAUUGCGAAGGCAGUUCACUGGACUGCAACUGACACUGAGGCUCGAAAGUGUGGGUAGCAAACAGGAUUAGAUACCCCUGUAGUC